RNAcentral lists this ribosomal RNA (452 nucleotides) under uncultured bacterium. RNAcentral's name for it is "bacterial SSU rRNA". It matches the Rfam family "Bacterial small subunit ribosomal RNA", at positions 29 to 526 of the family's 1533-position model. The record is from RNAcentral.
AACGAACGCUGGCGGCAGGCUUAACACAUGCAAGUCGAGCGCCCCGCAAGGGGAGCGGCAGACGGGUGAGUAACGCGUGGGAAUCUACCCAUCCCUACGGAACAACUCCGGGAAACUGGAGCUAAUACCGUAUACGCCCUACGGGGGAAAGAUUUAUCGGGGAUGGAUGAGCCCGCGUUGGAUUAGCUAGUUGGUGGGGUAAUGGCCUACCAAGGCGACGAUCCAUAGCUGGUCUGAGAGGAUGAUCAGCCACAUUGGGACUGAGACACGGCCCAAACUCCUACGGGAGGCAGCAGUGGGGAAUAUUGGACAAUGGGCGAAAGCCUGAUCCAGCCAUGCCGCGUGAGUGAUGAAGGCCAAAGGCUUGUAAAGCUCUUUCGUCGAGUGCGCGAUCAUGACAGGACUCGAGGAAGAAGCCCCGGCUAACUCCGUGCCAGCCGCCGCGGUAACAC